GCCAGGUGUGGUGGCACACACCUGUAAUCCCAGCAGCUCAGGAAGCUGAGGCAGGAGGAUUGUGAGUUCAAAGCCAGCCUCAGCAAUGGCGAGGCACUUAGCAACUCAGUGAGACCCUGUCUCUA
This 125-nucleotide small RNA is filed under the name Marmota monax (woodchuck). The record is from RNAcentral. Lineage: Eukaryota; Metazoa; Chordata; Mammalia; Rodentia; Sciuridae.